Molecule: ribosomal RNA, 1594 nt
Filed under: metagenome
Description: bacterial LSU rRNA
Rfam family: Bacterial large subunit ribosomal RNA
Source: RNAcentral
GGAAACAGUAGCGCAAGCGGCUGUGGAGUGUAUAGAAGUGAGAAUGCCGGAAUGAGUAGCGCGAAUGCAGUGAGAAUCUGCAUGGCCGAAAGCCUCAGGUUUCUGGAGGAAGGUUCGUCCGCUCCAGGUUAGUCGGGAGCUAAGGUGAGGCCUAACGGCGUAGCCGAUGCACAGACGGUAGAGAUUCCGUCACCACCAAAAGAGUUAAGCACAGGGACACAUUUGAAGUCUCGGAGCCGGGUGUUGGUUCCGGUAGCGAUCGAGGGAAAUUAGUACCGAAGUCCGGGAUGGAAGAUGGCGAGAAAAGCUGUGUGUAUUUCUGCGGUGCCCGUACCGCAAACCGACACAGGUAGGUAGGAAGAAGAUUCUAAGGCCAACGGGAGAAGGGUUGUUAAGGAACUCGGCAAAUUGACCCCGUAACUUCGGGAGAAGGGGUGCUCCAGAGAUGGAGCCGCAGAGAAUCGGCCCAAGCAACUGUUUACCAAAAACACAGGUUUGUGCUAAAUCGAAAGAUGACGUAUACGAGCUGACGCCUGCCCGGUGCUGGAAGGUUAAGAGGAGAUGUGCAAGCAUUGAAUCGAAGCCCCAGUGAACGGCGGCCGUAACAAUAACGGUCCUAAGGUAGCGAAAUUCCUUGUCAGGUAAGUUCUGACCCGCAUGAAAGGCGUAAUGAUUUGGGCACUGUCUCGACAGCCCGCCCGGCGAAAUUGUAGUACCGGUGAAGAUGCCGGUUACCCGCGACAAGACGGAAAGACCCCAUGGAGCUUUACUGUAGCCUAAUAUUGGGUUUCGAUGUUGCAUGCACAGGAUUGAUGGGACACAGGGAAACAAGAGCUUUGGCAUUUGUGGAGUGGCCGUUGGGAUACCAUCCUUGCGAUAUUGGAAUUCUAACCUGCGCCUUUGAAUCAAGGCGGGGGACAUUGUUAGGUGGGCAGUUUGACUGGGGCGGUCGCCUCCUAAAGAGUAACGGAGGCGUUCAAAGGUUCGCUCAGCUUGAACGGAAAUCAAGCAAAAGAGUGCAAACGCAGAAGCGAGCCUAACUGCGAGACUGACGGGUCGAGCAGUAACGAAAGUUGGAGUUAGUGAUCCGGUGGUAUGUGAGUGGAAAUGCCAUCGCUCAACGGAUAAAAGUUACCCUGGGGAUAACAGGCUGAUCUCCCCCAAGAGUCCACAUCGACGGGGAGGUUUGGCACCUCGAUGUCGGCUCAUCGCAUCCUGGGGCUGUAUUCGGUCCCAAGGGUUUGGCUGUUCGCCAAUUAAAGCGGUACGUGAGCUGGGUUCAGAACGUCGUGAGACAGUUCGGUCCCUAUCUGUCGUGGGCGCAGGAUAUUUGAUGGGAGCUGUUCCUAGUACGAGAGGACCGGAGCGGACGUACCUCUGGCGCACCAGUUGUUCUGCCAAGGGCAUAGCUGGGCAACUAUGUACGGAUCGGAUAAACGCUGAAAGCAUCUAAGCGUGAAGCCGACCCAAAGAUAAGAUAUCCCAUUGUUUCAAACAAGUAAGACCCCUUGAAGACUACAAGGUUGAUAGGCACGAUGUGUAGUGGAGUGAUCCAUUCAGCAAGCGUGUACUAAUAGGUCGAGGGCUUGACCAA